This 66-nucleotide transfer RNA is filed under the name Dinothenarus chrysocomus. RNAcentral describes it as "tRNA-Ser". Lineage: Eukaryota; Metazoa; Arthropoda; Insecta; Coleoptera; Staphylinidae. The record is from RNAcentral.
GAAAUAAGUAAUUCAAAGAUAAGCUUCUAACUUAAUCUUUUAGCGUUGAAAUCCGUUAUUAUUUCU